CCCCCGCAGAGGCAAGCACCGUGCGGGGCCCGCCGGGGGACGCGGCGCAGGGGCAGCCCCUCACACGGUGGUCUCGCCGUGCCGGCUGUUGGUGAGACGGGUGUAGAACUUUCUCCACGAGUGCAACGUCUUGCCGGACCAGAUCCAGAAGCCCGACGUGAUGCCCACGAUGAGCGUCAUGAGGUAUUUGAUCAUGUAGACGGUGAAGUCGGGCGACAUGCGCGGCGUGUAGUGCGCGGGGCACGGGAUGGCCAGGCUCUUGCAGUGCUGGCUCACCCACGAGCGCUCCCAGUGCUCUCGGAAGGCCUGCUCGUAGAAGUAGCAGGCGAUGACGAUGGUGGCAGGCACGGUGUAGAGCACCGAGAAAACGCCGAUGCGCACCAUCAGCCGCUCCAGCUUCUCCGUCUUGGUGCCGUCGUGCUUCAUGAUGGUGCGGAUGCGGAAGAGGGACACGAAACCGGCCAGGAGGAAGGACGUGCCGAUGAACAGGUACACGAAGAGCGGCGCCAGCACGAAGCCGCGCAGCGGGUCCAGGCUGUUGAGGCCCACGAAGCACACGCCGCUCAGCAGGUCGCCGUCAAUCUGGCCCAUGGCCAGGAUCGUGAUGGUCUUGACCGCCGGCACGGCCCACGCGGCCAGGUGGAAGUACUGCGAGUUGGCCUCGAUGGCCUCGUGGCCCCACUUCAUGCCGGCCGCCAGGAACCAAGUGAGCGACAGGAUGACCCACCAGAUGGAGCUGGCCAUGCUGAAGAAGUAGAGCAUCAUGAAGAGGAUGGUGCAGCCCUCCUUCUUGGUGCCCUGCACUACCGUGCGGUAGCCGUCCUCGGAAAAGCGCUCGUUGCACACGACGCGCUCCUGGAGCACGAAGCCCGCGAUGUAGGCCACCGAGACCAUAGUGUAGCAGCCGGACAGAAAGAUGAUGGGGCGCUCCGGGUAGCGGAAGCGCUGCAUGUCCACCAGGUACGUAGUGACGGUGAAGAAGGUGGAGGCGCAGCACAGCACCGACCAGGUGAGGAUCCAGAGGCGCGCGAAGCGCGUCUCCUCCUGCGAGAAGAACAUGGAGCCGUCGGGCCGCGCGGGCUCGCAGGGCGCCGCGCAGUCGCGCUCGCCCAGGNNNNNNNNNNNNNNNNNNNNNNNNNNNNNNNNNNNNNNNNNNNNNNNNNNNNNNN
This 1169-nucleotide long non-coding RNA is filed under the name Ursus maritimus (polar bear). RNAcentral's name for it is "lncRNA (ENSUMAG00000013899.1)". Lineage: Eukaryota; Metazoa; Chordata; Mammalia; Carnivora; Ursidae. The record is from RNAcentral.